Molecule: ribosomal RNA, 253 nt
Filed under: uncultured bacterium
Lineage: Bacteria
Description: partial 16S ribosomal RNA
Rfam family: Bacterial small subunit ribosomal RNA
Source: RNAcentral
AACGUAGGGGACAAGCGUUAUCCGGAUUUACUGGGCGUAAAGCGCCCGUAGGCGGCCUGACAAGUUGGACGUGAAAGACCCCGGCUCAACUGGGGGAUGUCGUGCGAUACGGGCGGACUGGAGGCCAGUAGGGGGAUGCGGAAUUCCGGGUGUAGUGGUGGAAUGCGUAGAGAUCCGGAGGAACACCAGCGGCGAAGGCGGCAUCCUGGACUGGUCCUGACACUCAGGAGCGAAAGCGUGGGGAGCGAUCCGG